Molecule: ribosomal RNA, 321 nt
Filed under: uncultured eukaryote
Lineage: Eukaryota
Description: partial 18S ribosomal RNA
Rfam family: Eukaryotic small subunit ribosomal RNA
Source: RNAcentral
CCCUUAGAUGUCCUGGGCCGCACGCGCGCUACACUGACAUGUUCAACAAGCCUCCUAGUUCGACAGGAUUUGGGAAAUCUUUGAACGCAUGUCGUGAUAGGGAUAGAUCAUUGCAAUUAUUGAUCUUGAACGAGGAAUUCCUAGUAAACGCGAGUCAUCAGCUCGCAUUGAUUACGUCCCUGCCCUUUGUACACACCGCCCGUCGCACCUACCGAUUGAAUGCUUCGGUGAAGAUUCCGGAUAGGACUUUUUUGAUUUAUUUCAAUUUUGUCUUAAAAGCUAUCUAAACCUCAACAUUUAGAGGAAGGUGAAGUCGUAACA